UGGGGGAUAUUGCACAAUGGGCGAAAGCCUGAUGCAGCGACGCCGCGUGGGGGAUGAAGGCUUUCGGGUUGUAAACCUCUUUCGCUAUCGAACAAGGCCCGCUUAGGGUGGGUUGAGGGUAGGUGGAGAAGAAGCGCCGGCUAACUACGUGCCAGCAGCCGCGGUAAUACGUAGGGCGCGAGCGUUGUCCGGAAUUAUUGGGCGUAAAGGGCUUGUAGGCGGCUUGUUGCGCCUGCUGUGAAAACGCGGGGCUUAACUUCGCGCGUGCAGUGGGUACGGGCAGGCUUGAGUGUGGUAGGGGUGACUGGAAUUCCAGGUGUAGCGGUGGAAUGCGCAGAUAUCUGGAGGAACACCGGUGGCGAAGGCGGCCCCCUGGACAAAGACUGACGCUCAGGUGCGAAAGCGUGGGGAGCAAACAGG
Molecule: ribosomal RNA, 420 nt
Filed under: Chloroflexota bacterium
Lineage: Bacteria; Bacillati; Chloroflexota
Description: Chloroflexi bacterium partial 16S ribosomal RNA
Rfam family: Bacterial small subunit ribosomal RNA
Source: RNAcentral